GUGGGGGUUGAUCAGGAAUUCUGAGAUUUGUAAGCGCUGCUUUCUUUAACGGAAAUUGAGCUCUAUUUUGAGGGAAAUUAGUUUUGCAGACUUCGUUUAAAAAAAAAAACUAAAACUUUUGUUCACCAGCUGCUCAGCUUUUCAGUCUGGGUCUGAGCUGAAACCUGCUGCAAGUCUGACGGUACCAAAUUACAUAUAUAUAUCUGUCAAAAUGAUGUAGGACCUAAAGUCUCUCUGUAAGUUGAUCCUUUUGACCCCAUGAUUAGGAGCUUCACAAUGUGGUACCACACCUGGAAACCUCCAGAACAAGAUCUCAAGGAAACACAGGAAAUUCCUGAAACAGCAAAACCCCCUACGUGAAGACGUCUGUUAUUCCUUUGUGUAUCAGGAGCAUCACUGUUAAUUAACUGUUGAUACACUUAAAACAGCUUGGUUGGCAAUGUCCUUUUUGAAUAAAGAAGAGCCAGGUGUGUUUUACAGGAUGAACUAGACAAUGCUGCCACAAGUUUACCUCUACGUCUUAUUGCCUUGGAAAAAUUUCCUGCAUAUCGUGGCACAAGAUGGUUGGCUCUCCAGGCAGCAGUUGGCGUUGUGAAUCAGUCAUCUCAGCAUGUGUCUCCAAGAUCCCACAGCAGGGGGAAAAAGAGGUGGAGGGUCACAUGCCUGGUGUUACAUACUUUGAGGCAGAGGUGGUAGGUGCCAUUUCUGCUCACAGCUCAUGGACCAGAACAAAGCCAUGCAUACCUGAGAGAGGACCAGAAAAUAUUCUGAAGCAGAGGGCUAUUUGGUGAGCAGUAAAUGUUUCUGUUACAACAGGUUUUGACAAACGUCAAAUGUACUCCUACUAGGCCUACUUCACACCAGUAAACUCUGUACUUCCUGUUGCUUGAUGGCAUCUUAUGCUGAUGUUUUCUAUCAUAGUGUCCGGCACAAA
RNAcentral lists this long non-coding RNA (934 nucleotides) under Pan troglodytes (chimpanzee). RNAcentral describes it as "long non-coding RNA NONPTRT015488". The record is from RNAcentral. Lineage: Eukaryota; Metazoa; Chordata; Mammalia; Primates; Hominidae.